RNAcentral lists this ribosomal RNA (722 nucleotides) under Bacillus sp. (in: firmicutes). Its description in RNAcentral is "bacterial SSU rRNA". It matches the Rfam family "Bacterial small subunit ribosomal RNA", at positions 56 to 760 of the family's 1533-position model. Lineage: Bacteria; Bacillati; Bacillota; Bacilli; Caryophanales; Bacillaceae. The record is from RNAcentral.
UGCAGUCGAGCGAUGGAUUGAGAGCUUGCUCUCAAGAAGUUAGCGGCGGACGGGUGAGUAACACGUGGGUAACCUGCCCAUAAGACUGGGAUAACUCCGGGAAACCGGGGCUAAUACCGGAUAAUAUUUUGAACUGCAUGGUUCGAAAUUGAAAGGCGGCUUCGGCUGUCACUUAUGGAUGGACCCGCGUCGCAUUAGCUAGUUGGUGAGGUAACGGCUCACCAAGGCAACGAUGCGUAGCCGACCUGAGAGGGUGAUCGGCCACACUGGGACUGAGACACGGCCCAGACUCCUACGGGAGGCAGCAGUAGGGAAUCUUCCGCAAUGGACGAAAGUCUGACGGAGCAACGCCGCGUGAGUGAUGAAGGCUUUCGGGUCGUAAAACUCUGUUGUUAGGGAAGAACAAGUGCUAGUUGAAUAAGCUGGCACCUUGACGGUACCUAACCAGAAAGCCACGGCUAACUACGUGCCAGCAGCCGCGGUAAUACGUAGGUGGCAAGCGUUAUCCGGAAUUAUUGGGCGUAAAGCGCGCGCAGGUGGUUUCUUAAGUCUGAUGUGAAAGCCCACGGCUCAACCGUGGAGGGUCAUUGGAAACUGGGAGACUUGAGUGCAGAAGAGGAAAGUGGAAUUCCAUGUGUAGCGGUGAAAUGCGUAGAGAUAUGGAGGAACACCAGUGGCGAAGGCGACUUUCUGGUCUGUAACUGACACUGAGGCGCGAAAGC